UACGGGGGGAGCAAGCGUUGUUCGGAUUUACUGGGCGUAAAGGGCGCGUAGGCGGUCAGCACAAGUCAGUUGUGAAAUCUCCGGGCUUAACUCGGAAAGGUCAACUGAUACUGUGCGACUAGAGUGCGGAAGGGGCAACUGGAAUUCCAGGUGUAGCGGUGAAAUGCGUAGAUAUCUGGAGGAACAUCAGUGGCGAAGGCGACACCCUGGACUCAUACUGACGCUGAUGCGCGAAAGCCAGGGGAGCGAACGGG
This 254-nucleotide ribosomal RNA is filed under the name uncultured prokaryote. RNAcentral describes it as "partial 16S ribosomal RNA". It matches the Rfam family "Bacterial small subunit ribosomal RNA", at positions 524 to 776 of the family's 1533-position model. The record is from RNAcentral.